UUAAUACUCCCUCCGUCGAACAAAAGAUGUCUCAAAUUUGUCAAAAUUUAGAUAUAUCUAAACAUGACCUAGUGUAUAGAUGCAUUCAAAUCUAGUCAAAGUUAAGAUAUCCGUUGUUGGACGGAAAAAGUAUAUA
This is a non-coding RNA of Brachypodium distachyon (stiff brome), 136 nucleotides long. Lineage: Eukaryota; Viridiplantae; Streptophyta; Magnoliopsida; Poales; Poaceae. The record is from Rfam.